GGUGGGGAAAAGCUGAGGACAGGGGGAGACUGAACAUCUGACUCCCAGCAUAACAUCUUGAAUUGUCCUCUCUGAAUAAACCUAUUUUUCUCCCCCUGAUUUUCUUUGGAGUUUGUGUUCAUUGAAGAAUAACUGCUAACAGCACUCAGAGUUUCCCACGCCAGCGAGCUCCGGACAGACAGACACAGCUGUAGACUAUUUGCGCAAAGGAUAAGAAGUAAUCAGAAAAAUGACCAUGAAGGCCUCAGUCUCCUCUGAACAGUUCAUGUUGAGAUGUGUCUGUUACUUGAACUCUGUGAACCAGCAAAGGUGACUACCUCAUGAAGCUGGUUGAGAGAAUGCCAAGAGUAUGCAAAGAUGUCAUCAAGGCAAAGGGUGGCUACGUUGAAGAAUCUCAAAUAUAAAAUAGAUUUUAGUUUGUUUAAAACUUUUUUGAUUACUGUGUUAUUUCAUCGUUUUAAUGUCUUCCCUAUUAUUCUACAAUGUAAAAAAUAGUAAAAAUAAAUAAAAACCCUGCAAUGUGUCCAAACUUUAUAAAGAAAAGGUAAUAUAUUUGUGUCAUCAUUCAACCGGUAAAUAGUGAUUGAGAUAUGAUUAAGGGUAAAAACGUACCCUAUGAGGGUGUGGUGACUGGCCGUAAAGGUGUUUAAAACAACAAUACUUUAUUGAAACACUGACAAAGCGUUUUUCCUGCCAUAGUUUCUGUAUAUAGCUGAGGGAUGGGUCUGGAAUAAAUGGAACCACUCUAAAAUCCAUAGACUAAACCAUGGAAAAAAGGACUGACCAUCCAUGAUAUCAAAACUAUAGUUUUAACCAUGUUUUUAGGAUAUACAGUGUUAUUUUUACAUGUACUGUUUACAAAUACUAGAGUAAAUCUGGAGUUUUCUGACUUGUGAAACUUGUAAAUUCGAAGAAAAAAAAUUCACGUGUGAAAGUGAUAUUUAAAAAGGGGGUGUUAGCAUGUGAAAUCUGAAUGUAGUACAUUUAAGCUCAACAUGUGACAAUUCUGUGGCUCGUGAAAAUGUGAAAAAUGCACAUUUGAUGUGUUUUCUUGUAAGGGAGUCUUUGCAAUUCUACCUUGAAAUCAGCAUGCUUUCUCUAUCUGCCUUUAGUCAUAUAGGGCAAGCUAAGCGGCUGAACAAUUCCUAAAUAAUGCAAUUAAAAGUACAGGCUAUUACAUUGUCCUAAAUUCAUCCAUGGAUUUCAAUAUGCAUUGUGUACAAUUUUCCUAAUUUGAGAUCUUAAUUUAAAUCAUAAGUACACAUAAACCCAUCAUUGUUUUAUUAUUUGUGAAAAACUGAGUUAAACACUCAUGGUCUAAAAUAGGCCUACUGAAAUCGACAAUGAACCUCACAUGGGACAUUCAUUCAUAAUGAUCCCCCUUUGAAGAGGACAUGAUAAGACAGAUCUCAAGGGACAGAACAUACAGCUUUCUUUUCAGAACAAAGAACUGCCUCAACUGAGUCCAUUAUUAAAUGCAAGCUUGUGUUACAUUUCUCUGAGCUGGUCAUCUGACAUCCCUUAUAAUAUGGCCAUUACCUUCUAAGAGGACUACAUUUGGAGUUGAAAAAGCACCGGAAACUCAGAUAUUUUAGUAAAUCAUUCAUUAAUGCCAAUGGGAGAAUAAUUCAAGUAAAGUGCAUGGAACUAAACUCAGAAUACCACCCAGAGAUCAUUUGUUUUUUUGACCAAUGUGAGACUACUCUGGCAGCAGCACACACUUGCUCCUUCAUUGGUUUGCUAUGUCAGCUUUCGGUAUACACUUUUGACUUUCCUCUAUGCUCACUGCAAAUGAUGUCUAAUAGUAUUUGGGUCAAAGAAUAGGCUAGUGCAGUUUGUGAAUAAGUAUGUGGGCACAAUGCUUAGGCAAUGCUGUCCCAAAGGGCACAAAAAUCCAAUGAAAAAGCGCCUUGGAGGCAAAACAUUUAUGUAAAAUGUUUCUCUUAUUGGAUGAUGAGGUUGUUUCCCCAGCCUGUAUCCCUACUGCAUAUAUAUUGUAUGUCACGCGACUGCAUGGUCAAUGGUAUGACAAUAAUAAUGUUUGUGGAGUAACAUCUUUGCUGUUAGCCACAGAUGUUACUGUAUAGCUGAAAUGUACAAUUAAGACAUGAAACAAAAUGUAGACGUUCUGCCACUUGUUCUUAAUUUGUAGACAAUAAGAAGUACUGUACUUCAAAUAAGUACCAGCUUAUUAUUCAAAAACAAACAUUUCAACAAAGCCUCCUGUGAAGAUUAACAGGCAUGUAUGGCCUAUGUUGAAUCAAUUGAAUCUCACUCUACUUUGCAGACUGUUAUACUCUAGUUUUUUGACAGUAAUUAAAAAUACAACUAUUUCAAACAUGGUUUUGAAGUCGAUUGGGUGGUAAAAAACCUGUCAAUCAUUCCGAUCAGAUUGACUACAAUUGAAUUAAGGUAUAUCCUUUGUGGCGUUGUAUUGGAACCAGAGGUCAUGUGGAUAAUUGCUAUUUUCCUGAGCUCUCUGCUUAACCAAGUACAACAUUUCAAUGGGCCAUUAAAAUGCAAAUUGUUACAUUAAUUGUACACUUGGGUGUGUUAACUGCUGAACGCUGCAUUGUGUUUGCCUAGGUAAAUAAAGAACACACAGUUAGAGAUCAUGGCACACUGAUUGAGAAGCUUUAAUUAGACAGUGUUCUAUUACAUUAGAAUUAAAUAAAAGUCUUUACUUUCUACUAUACAUGAUAGACAUGUUUUUCAGAUGUUUUAUUGUACUGUUACAUACAGUGCUUUUGUAAAGUAUUCAGACCCCUCGAGUUCUUCGACAUUUUGUUAUGUUACAGCCUUAUUCUAAAAAU
Molecule: long non-coding RNA, 2813 nt
Organism: Oncorhynchus kisutch (coho salmon)
Lineage: Eukaryota; Metazoa; Chordata; Actinopteri; Salmoniformes; Salmonidae
Exons: 3
Source: RefSeq, a predicted model, not a curated record